Molecule: ribosomal RNA, 295 nt
Filed under: Klebsiella pneumoniae
Lineage: Bacteria; Pseudomonadati; Pseudomonadota; Gammaproteobacteria; Enterobacterales; Enterobacteriaceae
Description: partial 23S ribosomal RNA
Rfam family: Bacterial large subunit ribosomal RNA
Source: RNAcentral
AACAGGUUAAUAUUCCUGUACUUGGUGUUACUGCGAAGGGGGGACGGAGAAGGCUAUGUUAGCCGGGCGACGGUUGUCCCGGUUUAAGCAUGUAGGCUGAUUGUCCAGGCAAAUCCGGAUAAUCAAGGCUGAGGUGUGAUGACGAGGCACUACGGUGCUGAAGUAACAAAUGCCCUGCUUCCAGGAAAAGCCUCUAAGCAUCAGGUAACAUUAAAUCGUACCCCAAACCGACACAGGUGGUCAGGUAGAGAAUACCAAGGCGCUUGAGAGAACUCGGGUGAAGGAACUAGGCAAA